RNAcentral lists this ribosomal RNA (906 nucleotides) under Chryseobacterium sp. RNAcentral's name for it is "bacterial SSU rRNA". It matches the Rfam family "Bacterial small subunit ribosomal RNA", at positions 1 to 925 of the family's 1533-position model. Lineage: Bacteria; Pseudomonadati; Bacteroidota; Flavobacteriia; Flavobacteriales; Weeksellaceae. The record is from RNAcentral.
CACAUUCCCUCUACGUUUUUUUCUAAGGAGGGGCGCAACCAUGCAGCCGAGCGGUAGAGAUCUUUCGGGAUCUUGAGAGCGGCGUACGGGUGCGGAACACGUGUGCAACCUGCCUUUAUCUGGGGGAUAGCCUUUCGAAAGGAAGAUUAAUACCCCAUAAUAUACUGAAUGGCAUCAUUCGGUAUUGAAAACUCCGGUGGAUAGAGAUGGGCACGCGCAAGAUUAGAUAGUUGGUGAGGUAACGGCUCACCAAGUCUGCGAUCUUUAGGGGGCCUGAGAGGGUGAUCCCCCACACUGGUACUGAGACACGGACCAGACUCCUACGGGAGGCAGCAGUGAGGAAUAUUGGACAAUGGGUGAGAGCCUGAUCCAGCCAUCCCGCGUGAAGGACGACGGCCCUAUGGGUUGUAAACUUCUUUUGUAUAGGGAUAAACCUACCCUCGUGAGGGUAGCUGAAGGUACUAUACGAAUAAGCACCGGCUAACUCCGUGCCAGCAGCCGCGGUAAUACGGAGGGUGCAAGCGUUAUCCGGAUUUAUUGGGUUUAAAGGGUCCGUAGGCGGAUCUGUAAGUCAGUGGUGAAAUCUCACAGCUUAACUGUGAAACUGCCAUUGAUACUGCAGGUCUUGAGUGUUGUUGAAGUAGCUGGAAUAAGUAGUGUAGCGGUGAAAUGCAUAGAUAUUACUUAGAACACCAAUUGCGAAGGCAGGUUACUAAGCAACAACUGACGCUGAUGGACGAAAGCGUGGGGAGCGAACAGGAUUAGAUACCCUGGUAGUCCACGCCGUAAACGAUGCUAACUCGUUUUUGGAAUGUAAGUUUCAGAGACUAAGCGAAAGUGAUAAGUUAGCCACCUGGGGAGUACGAACGCAAGUUUGAAACUCAAAGAAAUUAGAGGGGAAAAAAA